GUGGGGAAUCUUAGACAAUGGGGGAAACCCUGAUCUAGCCAUGCCGCGUGAUCGAUGAAGGCCUUAGGGUUGUAAAGAUCUUUCAGGUGGGAAGAUAAUGACUGUACCACCAGAAGAAGCCCCGGCUAACUCCGUGCCAGCAGCCGCGGUAAUACGGAGGGGGCUAGCGUUGUUCGGAAUUACUGGGCGUAAAGCGCACGUAGGCGGAUUGGAAAGUUGGGGGUGAAAUCCCGGGGCUCAACCCCGGAACUGCCUUCAAAACUCCCAGUCUUGAGUUCGAGAGAGGUGAGUGGAAUUCCGGGUGUAGAGGUGAAAUUCGUAGAUAUUCGGAGGAACACCAGUGGCGAAGGCGGCUCACUGGCUCGAUACUGACGCUGAGGUGCGAAAGCGUGGGGAGCAAACAGGAUUAGAUACCCGGGUAGUCC
This 425-nucleotide ribosomal RNA is filed under the name uncultured bacterium. RNAcentral's name for it is "partial 16S ribosomal RNA". It matches the Rfam family "Bacterial small subunit ribosomal RNA", at positions 354 to 796 of the family's 1533-position model. The record is from RNAcentral.